AUUGAACGCUGGCGGCAUGCCUUACACAUGCAAGUCGAACGGCAGCACGGGAGCAAUCCUGGUGGCGAGUGGCGAACGGGUGAGUAAUACAUCGGAACGUGCCCAGUAGUGGGGGAUAACCCGGCGAAAGCCGGACUAAUACCGCAUACGACCUACGGUGAAAGCAGGGAUCGCAAGACCUUGCGCUAUCGGAGCGGCCGAUGUCAGAUUAGCUUGNGGCGGGGUAAAAGCCCACCAAGGCGACGAUCUGUAGCUGGUCUGAGAGGACGACCAGCCACACUGGGACUGAGACACGG
RNAcentral lists this ribosomal RNA (296 nucleotides) under uncultured bacterium. RNAcentral describes it as "partial 16S ribosomal RNA". It matches the Rfam family "Bacterial small subunit ribosomal RNA", at positions 30 to 329 of the family's 1533-position model. The record is from RNAcentral.